Molecule: ribosomal RNA, 1914 nt
Filed under: human gut metagenome
Description: bacterial LSU rRNA
Rfam family: Bacterial large subunit ribosomal RNA
Source: RNAcentral
GCGAAAAGAACCCCGGGAGGGGAGUGAAAUAGAUCCUGAAACCGCAUACAUACAAACAGUAGGAGCCCGCAAGGGUGACUGCGUACCUUUUGCAUAAUGGGUCAGCGACUUACGUUCAAUGGCAAGCUUAACCGAGUAGGGGAGGCGCAGCGAAAGCGAGUCCGAACAGGGCGACAUGAGUCGUUGGGCGUAGACCCGAAACCAGAUGAUCUAUCCAUGGCCAGGCUGAAGGUGUGGUAACACACACUGGAGGGCCGAACCGACUAGUGUUGCAAAAUUAGCGGAUGAGCUGUGGAUAGGGGUGAAAGGCUAAACAAAUCUGGAGAUAGCUGGUUCUCCCCGAAAACUAUUGAGGUAGUGCCUCGUGUAUGGCUCCAGGGGGUAGAGCACUGUUAUGGCUAGGGGGACAUGGCGUCUUACCAAACCAUGGCAAACUCCGAAUACUUGGAAGUCUGAGCACGGGAGACAGAGCACCGGGUGCUAACGUCCGGACUCAAAAGGGAAACAACCCAGACCGCCGGCUAAGGUCCCUAAUAUUGACUAAGUGGAAAACGAAGUGGGAAGGCUAAGACAGUCAGGAAGUUGGCUUAGAAGCAGCCAUCCUUCAAAGAAAGCGUAAUAGCUCACUGAUCGAGUCUUCCUGCGCGGAAGAUGUAACGGGGCUAAGUCAAUAACCGAAGCCGCGGAUUCGCAGCAAUGCGAGUGGUAGGGGAGCGUUCUGUAAGCCUGCGAAGGCGGAUCUGCGAGGACCGCUGGAGGUAUCAGAAGUGCGAAUGCUGACAUGAGUAACGUUAAAGCGGGUGAAAAGCCCGCUCGCCGCAAGCCCAAGGUUUCCUGCUCUACGUUCAUCGGAGCAGGGUGAGUCGGCCCCUAAGGUCAGGCUGAGAAGCGUAGCUGAUGGGAAGCUGGUUAAUAUUCCAGCACCGAUUUCAAGUGCGAAGGGGGGACGGAGUCCUGAAGGUCAUCCGGGUGUUGGAUAUCCCGGUUUACGAGCGUAGGAGGUUGACAGGCAAAUCCGUCAACGGAUCUCCAAGGCGAAGGAUCGAGGUUGAGAGAUCAACUGAAGUGACUGAAUGGGCUUCCAGGAAAAGCCUCUAAGCAUCAGCUUGGAAUUGACCGUACCGCAAACCGACACUGGUGGGCGAGCUGAAUAUGCUCAGGCGCUUGAGAGAACUCAGGAGAAGGAACUCGGCAAAUUGACACCGUAACUUCGGGAUAAGGUGUGCCUUUGUAGUGUGAAGGGAGAAACACCCCGAGCAUGAAGAGGCCUCAGAGAAUCGGUGGCUGCAACUGUUUACUAAAAACACAGCACUCUGCAAAGAUGAAAGUCGACGUAUAGGGUGUGAUGCCUGCCCGGUGCUGGAAGAUUAAUUGAUGGGGUGCAAGCUCCUGAUCGAAGUCCCAGUAAACGGCGGCCGUAACUAUAACGGUCCUAAGGUAGCGAAAUUCCUUGUCGGGCAAGUUCCGACCUGCACGAAUGGCAUAAUGAUGGCCACACUGUCUCCUCCUGAGACUCAGUGAAGUUGAAAUGUUUGUGAUGAUGCAAUCUCCCCGCGGCUAGACGGAAAGACCCCAUGAACCUUUACUGCAGCUUUGCAUUGGACUUUGAACCGAUCUGUGUAGGAUAGGUGGGAGGCAGUGAAGCUAGGACGCCAGUCUUAGCGGAGCCAACCUUGAAAUACCACCCUGAUUUGUUUGAGGUUCUAACCUAGGAGCGUGAUCCGCUUCGGGGACCGUGCAUGGUAGGCAGUUUGACUGGGGCGGUCUCCUCCUAAAGGGUAACGGAGGAGUGCGAAGGUACGCUAGGUACGGUCGGAAAUCGUGCUGAUAGUGCAAUGGCAAAAGCGUGCUUGACUGCGAGACCGACAAGUCGAGCAGAUACGAAAGUAGGUCAUAGUGAUCCGGUGGCUCUGC